Molecule: non-coding RNA, 74 nt
Organism: Cucurbita maxima (winter squash)
Lineage: Eukaryota; Viridiplantae; Streptophyta; Magnoliopsida; Cucurbitales; Cucurbitaceae
Source: the annotation of a RefSeq genome assembly
UCCUCAGUAGCUCAGUGGUAGAGCGGUUAGUUGUUAACUAACUGGUCGUGGGUUCAAAUCUCCUACUUGGGGAG